This 1365-nucleotide ribosomal RNA is filed under the name Salmonella enterica subsp. enterica serovar Infantis. RNAcentral's name for it is "partial 23S ribosomal RNA". It matches the Rfam family "Bacterial large subunit ribosomal RNA", at positions 1589 to 2925 of the family's 2925-position model. Lineage: Bacteria; Pseudomonadati; Pseudomonadota; Gammaproteobacteria; Enterobacterales; Enterobacteriaceae. The record is from RNAcentral.
AGCAACAAAUGCCCUGCUUCCAGGAAAAGCCUCUAAGCAUCAGGUAACAUCAAAUCGUACCCCAAACCGACACAGGUGGUCAGGUAGAGAAUACCAAGGCGCUUGAGAGAACUCGGGUGAAGGAACUAGGCAAAAUGGUGCCGUAACUUCGGGAGAAGGCACGCUGACAUGUAGGUGAAGUGAUUUACUCAUGGAGCUGAAGUCAGUCGAAGAUACCAGCUGGCUGCAACUGUUUAUUAAAAACACAGCACUGUGCAAACACGAAAGUGGACGUAUACGGUGUGACGCCUGCCCGGUGCCGGAAGGUUAAUUGAUGGGGUCAGCGCAAGCGAAGCUCCUGAUCGAAGCCCCGGUAAACGGCGGCCGUAACUAUAACGGUCCUAAGGUAGCGAAAUUCCUUGUCGGGUAAGUUCCGACCUGCACGAAUGGCGUAAUGAUGGCCAGGCUGUCUCCACCCGAGACUCAGUGAAAUUGAACUCGCUGUGAAGAUGCAGUGUACCCGCGGCAAGACGGAAAGACCCCGUGAACCUUUACUAUAGCUUGACACUGAACAUUGAGCCUUGAUGUGUAGGAUAGGUGGGAGGCUUUGAAGCGUGGACGCCAGUCUGCGUGGAGCCGACCUUGAAAUACCACCCUUUAAUGUUUGAUGUUCUAACGUGGACCCGUAAUCCGGGUUGCGGACAGUGUCUGGUGGGUAGUUUGACUGGGGCGGUCUCCUCCUAAAGAGUAACGGAGGAGCACGAAGGUUGGCUAAUCCUGGUCGGACAUCAGGAGGUUAGUGCAAUGGCAUAAGCCAGCUUGACUGCGAGCGUGACGGCGCGAGCAGGUGCGAAAGCAGGUCAUAGUGAUCCGGUGGUUCUGAAUGGAAGGGCCAUCGCUCAACGGAUAAAAGGUACUCCGGGGAUAACAGGCUGAUACCGCCCAAGAGUUCAUAUCGACGGCGGUGUUUGGCACCUCGAUGUCGGCUCAUCACAUCCUGGGGCUGAAGUAGGUCCCAAGGGUAUGGCUGUUCGCCAUUUAAAGUGGUACGCGAGCUGGGUUUAGAACGUCGUGAGACAGUUCGGUCCCUAUCUGCCGUGGGCGCUGGAGAACUGAGGGGGGCUGCUCCUAGUACGAGAGGACCGGAGUGGACGCAUCACUGGUGUUCGGGUUGUCAUGCCAAUGGCACUGCCCGGUAGCUAAAUGCGGAAGAGAUAAGUGCUGAAAGCAUCUAAGCACGAAACUUGCCCCGAGAUGAGUUCUCCCUGAGACUUAGAGUCUCCUGAAGGAACGUUGAAGACGACGACGUUGAUAGGCCGGGUGUGUAAGCGCAGCGAUGCGUUGAGCUAACCGGUACUAAUGAACCGUGAGGCUUAACCUUACAAC